AGCGAACGCUGGCGGCAGGCCUAACACAUGCAAGUCGAACGGAUCCUUCGGGAUUAGUGGCGGACGGGUGAGUAACACGUGGGAACGUGCCUUUUGGUUCGGAACAACUCAGGGAAACUUGAGCUAAUACCGGAUGUGCCCUUGGGGGAAAGAUUUAUCGCCGUUAGAGCGGCCCGCGUCUGAUUAGCUAGUUGGUAGGGUAAAGGCCUACCAAGGCUACGAUCAGUAGCUGGUCUGAGAGGAUGAUCAGCCACAUUGGGCUGAGACACGGCCCAAACUCCUACGGGAGGCAGCAGUGGGGAAUCUUGCGCAAUGGGCGAAAGCCUGACGCAGCCAUGCCGCGUGAAUGAUGAAGGUCUUAGGAUUGUAAAAUUCUUUCACCGGGGAAGAU
This 391-nucleotide ribosomal RNA is filed under the name uncultured bacterium. RNAcentral describes it as "bacterial SSU rRNA". It matches the Rfam family "Bacterial small subunit ribosomal RNA", at positions 29 to 449 of the family's 1533-position model. The record is from RNAcentral.